This 552-nucleotide long non-coding RNA is filed under the name Helianthus annuus (common sunflower). RNAcentral's name for it is "hypothetical non coding rna". The record is from RNAcentral. Lineage: Eukaryota; Viridiplantae; Streptophyta; Magnoliopsida; Asterales; Asteraceae.
UUUCUUCUACCAAGUCAUGCAUAUCAACUAUAUCACCAAAUUCUCCAUUUGAAACUUUUAUGAGAGACUUUUGAACCAACACCUUCACCCCUAUACGAGGGUGUAAAUUACAAGCAUCAAGCACCAUCAUUGCGUUGUCUAUCAGCUUUCUUCUAAAAAAACAAGCAAUAUCUAAGAAUAAUUUUUGAUGGUCGGGUUCAAGUCCAUCAUAACUUAUUUUGAGUCUUUCGAAAAGAACCUAGAAUUUCAAGUGCUAAUGGGAGCCCACUAGCAUAAGAGACUACAUCUUUUGAAAGCAUCUCGUAAUCUUCUAUAGGUUCAUCUUUCCGAUAUGCAUGUUUGUUGAAGAGCUCCAUAGCCUCAUCUUGUGAUAACAAACUCACUUCAUAUAUCGUGCUUGCAUGGCGGGUUAGCAAAUGCUCAUCCCUUGUUGUAAUUAUUAUCCUGCUUCCCUCACCAAACCAAGCAUGUGAUCCGGCUAGAGCCUCUAGUUGCUUAAGGUCAUCAACAUCGUCAAGAACAACUAAUACGUUUUUAUUACGUAACCUUCUU